CAACUUUGGCAUUCCUCCUCCUCCCAACUAUCUCAAACAACAGCAUCCCAAAGCUAUAAACAUCACACUUAUGGGUUAUGGGAUGGUUUUUCAGUAAAAAUUCUGGUGCUGAGUAGCCUGGAGUCCCUCUAUAUCCUGAGACUGUCAGGUGGGUGCCGUCCCUGUUACAAAGCUUAGCAAGCCCAAAGUCUGCAACCUUAGGAAAGAAGUUAGCAUCAAGAAGAAUGUUACCGGGUUUUAUGUCAUAGUGAAUGAUUCUUUCUACACAUUCUUCAUGUAAGUAAGCUAUGCCCUUUGCUGUCCCAACUGCUAUAUGAUGCAGCUUCUCCCACUCGACUUCUUGUGCCUCGCUGAACAAGUACUUGUCCAGGGAUCCAUUUUCCAGGUAUUCGUAGACAAGUGCGCUCAUGAACUGAUCAUAGCAGAAACCAUAGAGCCUGACUAGAUUGAUAUGGUAAGUCCUGCCUAUGGUUCCCACCUCUGCCAUGAACUGUUCUUCAGCUUGUCUGUCUGGACUCCUAUUCAGGACCUUCACUGCAAUCUUGACCCCAUUGGGGAACUGCCCCUUGUAAACCAUUCCAAACCCUCCAGAACCCAGUGUUGUGGUGUAGUUAUCAGUGAAGCUGCAUAGCUGCUGAGCAGUGAACCUGACCGGCUUCUCCCUCGCUAAUUCUUGGAAGAACUUCUCCAUUGUUGGUGUAUCAACCUCCCAAACCUGUAUCGUAUUCACAGGUGGGGGAGCCACUGCCGCUUGCAAUUCUGUCACAAUAGCCUUCUUCGCUUUCCUUGCACAAACGAGAGAGAUAACAGCGAUAAUUCCAAGCACCACCAAGCUCAAUAUUACGGCUGCAAGUCAUGGGAGUUUGAACCAGUAAGAUCCCAACUUCAAACUGUUGUCUGUCAAUAUCGAAUUCCUUCGUAUUAUUGUCGCAGAAAGAACUUACCUCCUGCUGUAAUCCCAGAGUUGUUGCUUGGAGGAGAGUAGUCAUAUGAAGACAUCUACAAAGGUAGCAAAAUGGACCAAGUUAGAUAGGACUAUACAAUUCUCUAUUCAGUCAAGUAUAGAUAUAGAUUUUGUUUACAAAUCUCGCUGGCACCUUGGCUAGGUGAGCAAUUAAUUAACCAAAAAUUUCUUCAUUAGUUCAAGGUUUUGUGCAGUGCAGGCGUAUCAUACAUGACCCUUUAACAUACUAAGAACAAUCAAGUUAGUGAACUCACCCUCUUCGGAAGAUCACUCCUUGCUUUUCACCACCAGAAAUUGCAGCACAGCUUCUCUUUGCUCUUUGCUUCCUCCCAUUGCCUUUGUAUAUAUAUAUAUAUAUAUACAUGUAUUUGAGGGAGGAAGUUUUGGGGAAAUUUCUGUCAUAGGCCUUCAACUUGGUAGUCAACAAGGGGAAGGGAAAGAUCUACGGAACCUCUCUCUUUCACUAUCAAAUUCAAAGUGAAGAAGGAAAGAAAUUUCUCAAAAAAUUAUUUUAAUGGUAUGGAUUAUUAUGCCUAUGAGGGGAAGUUUCGGAAAAAUUCCUGCCAUUGACCUUCACGGUUGCAUUCAAAGAAUCAAAAAAUAAGAUAGAUAAAGGCAAGGAGAGAGCUACACCACCUUCGGCAAUGACAUGGAUUGGUAUCACGAAAUUUUUUAGAAAAGUCACUGACAGGCUUAAUUGCAAGGAGAUAUGGGAACUAAAUACAAGAGAAAUAUAAAUUUGUAAAAAAAAUUAUUAAUAUUUUUAAAUAUAAAAAUAUCUUCAUAUAUUAUCAUUUCUUUUAUAUCUUAAAUACAAAAUAAAUUACAUUUUAGUAUGUUUUCAAAAUUUUCAUAUUAUUACUAAGUACAGAAAUUUAUAUUAUACAUGCAUUAUUUUAUUUAAAUUCAAUAAAUAUAUUAUUACUUAUUUUAUUAUUUGCAAAGUUUUUUUAACAUUUAUAUGAGUUUUGAUUAAUUUUCAUAUAUUUUUUGUAACAAUAUUUCCCAUAUAUCCGAAAUAUCUAUAAAAUUUGACUAUUAAUAUAUAUGAGAAAACCAAUUUUUCAUUCUUAUUAUUAGAACGCAUAUGUAUUUUCUAAUUUUAUCUUUUAUUAUUAUUUUAAAUUUUAAAUUAUUAACUCUUUACUUUUAAUUUUUAAUUCUUAAUCUUUAAUUUUUAACGUUUAAAAUUUUAAAUUUCUAUUUUAUCUCAUUUGGGUAUAGUUCCUAUUUUUUAUUUUUAAAAUCAAAGCAAUAAUAACCUAUAUAUAAAAAAAAGUAAAAACUCUUUUACAAAAAAUAUAUAUUUAUGUUAUAUCUUCAAGAAUUUCUUUUAAAAAUAAAAAUAAAAAUUUCAGAUAGUAAACAUUACUUGUUAACGUAAGCUUCUAAAAGUUAUAAUAUAAAAAUUAUUACUAUUUUCUAUUUUUAAAAAUUGAAACAUGAAGCAUUCAAACAUAUACUAAAUUUUUAAUUUUUUAAAUAUUUAAUAAUAAUAAUAAUAAUAAUAAUAAUAUUUAGUAAUAAAUACAUAUAGGUCUAUUGAUAUUUAAUAGGCCGGCCACUAACCACCCAACCUAUUGAAUGCUGAUUGGGAUAUAUAUAUAUAUAUAUAUAGGUCUUUGUUGACCGGGUAUUAGAAGAAGUGAUGAUAUCAAUGCGUUGGCUAAGUUUGGUAGAGGAAAUUUCCUUGUUAAAUGUGGUAUUUGAAAUGCCACUCCCACCUUUCUCUUUCACCGUCAAGUGGAGAAAGAAAGAAAAGAAAGGACUAACAAGAACUUAAUGGUAUUUGGCUAUUUGCAGGGAUUUAGCAUGGUCUUCCCAUGAGCUCUGCUCAUCCUCACUCCACCAAAUUAGUACGCAAACGCAUCAUCAAAACUUAGCUGAACUUAACGAUAUAUAAGCAUAUUGCCCUAAAACAUGAUCAACUUACAUGGUGUAUAGCUAACACAAAGGCAACUACAAUAAUAUUAUACUACAAAUUUUUUAACAAACUCUACUUCAAUUUUCUUCUCAUUUCAUAGUUGAAACUUGAACCUCUCUCCCUUGAGUGCUUCCAUAGUUAAGAACUAGCUACUUGUAUCUCAUACUUGGCCAUGAUUGGUGUGGUUUCCUUGUACCAAAUUGAAUUGGUUUCUUUACUUGUUGCAUAGCUUGAACUUGUACCGGUUUCAUUUGCCUGCUGUAACACGUUUAUACCUACUGAGUAUAGAUAAUGAAACGGUUUUGGUGGUGGCAUGACUUCUACUCCUCCCUCCAGCAUCUUUACCACAGCACUCAUCAGAGGCCUUGAGUCGGGUGAGUCCUGAACACACCAUAGAGCCACCAUAGACAUUCUCUCUGCUUUCUCCCUGUCCUUCUCUUCAAUUCCACAGGCCACAGUCAUUGCUGCUAAAUCCCCUUUCUCAUACUCUUCCCAAACAUGUUUGGGGAACCAAUCCAUGCUCUCAUUAGAACCAAUUUUGGCAUUCCUCCUCCUCCCAACUAUCUCAAACAACAGCAUCCCAAAGCUAUAAACAUCACAUUUAUGGGUUAUAGGAUGGUUUUUCAGUAAAAAUUCUGGGGCCGAAUAGCCUGGAGUCCCUCUAUAUCCUGAGACUGUCAGGUGGGUGUUGUCCCUGUUACAAAGCUUAGCAAGCCCGAAGUCUGCAACCUUAGGAAAGAAGUUAGCAUCAAGGAGAACGUUGCCAGGUUUUAUGUCAUAGUGAAUGAUUCUUUGUACACAUUCUUCAUGUAAGUAAGCUAUGCCCUUUGCUGUUCCAACUGCUAUAUGAUGCAGUUUCUCCCACUCGAUUUCUCGUGCCUCACUGAACAAGUACUUGUCCAGGGAUCCGUUUUCCAGGUAUUCGUAGACAAGUGCACUCAUGAACUGAUCAUGGCAGAACCCAUAGAGCCUGACUAGAUUCAUAUGGUAAGUUCUGCCUAUGGUUCCCACCUCUGCCAUGAACUGUUCUCCAGCUUGUCUGUCUGGACUCCUAUUCAGGACCUUCACUGCAAUCUUGACCCCAUUCAGGAACUGCCCUUUGUAAACCACUCCAAACCCUCCAGAACCUAGUGUUGUCGAGUAGUUAGCAGUGAAACUGCAUAGCUGUUGAGCAGUGAAUCUGACUGGCUUCUCUUUUGCUAUUUCUUGGAAGAACCUCUCCAUUGUUGGUGCAUCAACCUCCCUCGCCUGCAAUUCUUUCACAAUGGGCUUCCUUGCUUUCCUUGCACAAAGGAGAUAGAUAACAGCGAUUUUUCCUACUACCACCAAGCUCGAUACUAUGACUGCAAGUCAUGGGAAUUUGAAUCAAUAAGAUCCCAACUUCAAUCUGUUGUAUAUAUUUCUCACAGAAAGCACUUACCUGCUGCUGCAACCCCAGAGUUGUUGUCUGUCGGAGGAGAGAAGUCUGAAGACAUCUACAAAGGCAGCAAAUUGGACUAAGUUAGAUAGGACUAUACAAUUCGCUAUUCAGUUGAAGUAUUUAUGUCGAUUUUGGGUACAAAUCCCCUGGGCACCUUGGCUAAGUGAGUGGUUAAUUAACCGAAAUUUUCUUCAUUAGUUCAAAGUUUUGUGCAUUGCAGGCUUGUUAAUCAUUCAUGAACCUUCAACAUACUAAGAACAAUCAGGUUAGUGAACUCACCCUCUUUGGAAGAUCACUCCUUGCUUUUCACCACCAAUGCACCACAACUUCUCUUCGCUCUUUGCUUCCCCCCACUGCCUUGACCUGAAAAUUCACCAAAGUUUCUUCACUCCUGAAUCAUAAUUCUGCAAUGGGUGUGAAGGGAAGAAGUUUUUGGGAAAUUUCUGUGACAUCUCUGCCGACUAACUUGGUCAAAAUUCUAUGGUACCCAUGUGGUCGGUACCAAAGUUAGAUUUUUGACCGUUGAAUUUAAAUAUUUUAAUCAUGACCGUUGAUCUAGAUUGUACGAAAAGGGGAAAACUUGCGUGUAAUCAGUUUCUUGUUAAGUGUAUUGUUUAAAAUGAUGAUCUAAUGAUAAUUAAGUAAUGAUAUUUUAUAUUAUUAAAUAUAUAAUUUAUAAUAAAUAAAAAAUAAUAUAUUAUCUAAUUUCUUUUUUAUUUUUAUUUAAAAAUGUAUCUAAUAAUAAUUUUAGUUUUUUUAUCAAUAAUUUGAGUUUAUUUUGAAUUUAAAUUUUACUAUAUUAGAUAACUAAAAAAAAAAAAUCAAUUUCAAUAUAAAUCAAUUAAAAAUGGAUUUUAAUUUAAUGUAAUUCUCAUAAAUAAAUUAAAAUAUAUUUUUCAUUUAAAAUAUUUAUUUUUUAACAUGAAAGUACUAAGGAUAAAAAAAUCAAUUUAAAAAAGAUAAAUUUUACAAUAAAAUUAUUUAAUAACAAGAAUCUUUAUUUUAUAAAAUGGAUAAAUAUGAAAAAAAUGUUAUAAAAUUAUUAAAUGUGAAUGUUAAUAUUUUAUAAAUCAAUUAAAAUAGAUAUUUUAUAAUUUUAAUUUUCUUUUAUUAAGGAUUUAAUUUAAAAUAAAUAUUUUAAUUUAAAAAAAAUUAAAUUUAUUAUAAGGCUCAUUCAAUAAUAUAAAUAGUGUUUUAUAAAAUAAAAUAAAAAAGUUUAAAAUUGAAUAAAAAAUUAUAGAAAUUUAUAAUUCAUUGAUCAUAUUUUGUUAUAAGUUGUUGAUAAGUCUCUAUUGUUAAGUGUAUUUAGUAACUUUUAUAUAGAACUUCUACUUAGAUGAGUUAGUUGGGUUGAUCGUUAAUCUAAGUCCAACCUAACUCAACUUCAUUUUUUUUUUAAGUUUGGAUUAGUCAAAUUAAACCGAUGUUGAUUGAACUUUGACUAUAGACUAUUCAUGAGACUCAAUAUUUAGAUUGUCAUCGUAUUGGUGAAAAAAGAUUUCAUAAUGAAAUGAUUCUCAUUGCUUUCUCUCUAUCAUUGGUAAGUUGUACUCAUGUGUCAGUGUUGUUGGAUUGUGUGACGUAUUUGUCACCAUGGGUUGAUCAAACUUUGACCAUAGCCAAUUCAAAAGCGACACCAUAUAUUUUUAAUGAUGCUUAAUUUGAUAUAGAGUUGUUUGAGAUAUAUAAUGUGUUAUAUUAAAUGCAUCACCUUUGAGUUAUGGUGUCACAUCAUUGUAAAUGAUUAUGAAAGAUAUGGUUGUUUUUUGUUGAUUAGCCUGUUAAUAAAUAAGAUCAACUUGUGCAUAUUUUGUCCAUAAAUAUAAUAAUCAUAUCACAUUUAACUUAUAUUUUUGUAAUGCUUAUGGAUUAACCUGUAAUACAUUACAUCAUCUAGUAAUAUUUGCAUAUCAAAUGUUCACAAAACGAUAGUACAUCAAACCUACCAAAACUAAAAAAGAAAAGUGAAUGCACAUUAAAACAUGAUUUAGAAAUGUUAAGCAUCCCAACAUUCAUGUAUACCUGCAUUUCAUAUGCAUAAAACCGGUUAACCGUAAAAUGACACAAGAGUUGCAUCCAAAAACCCAAAAUUCUCAAUACCAAAUAAAGUAACGUUUAUAUCCUAUAAUGUAUGGCAUCAGAGUCACAUCUAAAAACCAAAAAUCUUGUUGCCUCUUUCUCUUUUCUUUUUAUUCUUCAUACUGUCCUCCCAAAAGUGUAUCCUGCAUUUCAUAGUUUAAUGAGUUUUAAAGCUCUUAUUGAAAAUAAAAAUUAAUUAAUGUUAUAAAAAAUAAAUAAAUAAAUCUAAGGACUGAUGUUUUCUUUUUUCUUUUUCCCAUUUUGAUAUCAAAAUAAUUCGUAAAGAAUAAGUAAUGUCAUACAAUACUAAUGGAAAAUUCAUAUGACAACUAAGGGACUCACCAUGCAUGAUCACGAUACAUCAACAUGAUUCAUAAUUAGUCAUAACAUAAAAAUAGUCAAUUGUCUUCUAAUUUCAUCAAAUUCUACUUAAGAAUAUGUUUUUUUUUAUCAUCAAACUGAAAUCAAAUGAGAAUAACAUUAAUAUCACAAUAAUUGGAAGAUGAAAUUAUGUACAAUUCAUUAAAUGAGUAAAACCUUUAAUACAAUAACUAUAGAAUCAACAAUUAUCUCUUUAAUGAAUCUCAUAACAAAGUAGUCACAUUUGAACUCAAAUAAAAAUAAUUCAAGAAAAUAAAAAAUAAAUCAAAACUACAAAAUCAAAAUAUAAAUCUAAAAUUUUAGAAAAUACUAAUCUUCCACUUAAAAUCUGCACUUUUUAAAUUUAUUUUUUAUAAUUCAUUAUGUUUUUAAAAAUCAUUUUUAACAUUUAAUUCUUUUUAUAUAUAUAUAUUUUUUAUUUCUUGGAAGGAUUUUCUUAAUUUCAAUAUUUUUUAAUGUUCAUUUUGUGAAAUAAUAAUGUUCAUUAAAUUUCAUCUCAAUUAUAUAAAAUAAAAUUUUAGUAACAAAAUAUAAAAAUGUUUUCAACUACUAAUAUGAUAGGACAUGAUAUUAUAACAAGCAUGAAAAUUGUGUAUAUAAGACCAAAAACCUAAUUCAUUAUUAAAAAAUGUUAAGAGAAAAAAUAGUAUGAGAAAGAAUUAAACAAUUUUUCAUAAAAAUUAUUGAUUUUUCGGUUAUAACUCCAAUUGAUAUUUUUUUUUCUAAUUAAAAUAAUUAAUAAAAAAUUUUGGAUAUGAAAAAUAUGUUCAAAUAAAAAUAAUAACAAUUUUAAAAUAUCAAAGGAAAAGAUAUUCAAUAUUUUAAAUUUUUUACUUUUAAUAUUCUUCAGAUCAAUAAAUUAUCAAACAUCUUUUUCAAAAAAAAAAAAAUUGAAGAAAAGGAAGACCUUUGUGAAAGGAAUUGGAAAUUUUUUUGUAAUAAAAUGAUUUUAUAGAAAUUUCAUAACCUUGAAAGGAAAAUUUCAUCAUCAAUUUCAAAUUACUCCAAAAUUUAGUCAAUGCAUAUAAAAACAAUAAGAAAAAAAAGACAAAAAUAAAACAUAUUUUGAGAAUCCUUUUGCGGGAGAUGACAAUAUUGCGAAUAAUUUUUGAGAAAAUUAUUUUCCUAAUAUGACCAACCAAUAUCUUCAUCACAACAUACUAUAAUAUUCUUAGAAAAUAAACAAAUUAAAGGAAUUUUCAUUAAAAAUCAAAAGAAAAUUAUAAAACAUCUUCUUAAAAAAAAAAAGUUUUAUAGAAGGAAUUAAAAAAAUUUAUGUAAUAAAAGGAUUUUAUAGAAAUUUUCUAACCUUGAAAGAGAAAUUCUAAAUUUUGGUCAACGCAUAUAAAAACAAUAAGAAAAUAAAGUAAAAACAAAAAACAAAAAACAAAAAACAUAUUUCAAGAAUAGAAAAAAUAUAAAUAGAACAAGAUGAGAUAUUAACCAUAAUACCAAGUAAAAUAAUAAUAAAAAAAAUCAAAAUAUAAGAUUUGAUCAUUUUUAUAAUUAUAAAAAUUUUCAUUCCUAUUUAAAAUUUAAAAAACAAUUCAUUUACAUGAAUAAAUAAAUAAUUAAACUAAUUUUUCAUUGUUAAUUCCAACAUUCCAAACCAAUGCCAAUAUGAUAUGGAAAUUAUUUCAUUUUUCCUUUUGUGGGAGAUGACAAUAUUAAGAAUAACUUUCUAAAAAAUUAUUUUUCAUGAGUGUGAGAAGAGGUAGAAGAAAAUUAUGGUUAGGGUUAUGGAAUGAGAUUUUUUUUUGGAUCGGGAGUAUGUGGAAACAAUGAGUUUUUUAUAUAUUAUUAUUAUUCUCAAAGUGGGCCCGUUAAAUUAUAGUAUUUUAAAAUUUUUAUUUUAUAUGGUGUCACUUUUCAAAAACUGACACUAUAAACUUAAAAUUAAUAUCAUCUAUCUUAAUUAAAAAAAUUUAUAUGAUGUGUCACCUUUAUGGAUUUUAAGUCAUAUGGUGUCUUUAUUUUAAAAGUGACACCAUAAAUUAUUUUUGUAGUAGUGAUUCUUUACUUAGGAUGUUACGGGUUAAGCUAUCGAAUCAACUCUUAGGGUUAAAGGAGUGUUAACGUUCUAAAGAAUUUUUUUAUGUGAUAAAUGACGAAUUUAGCCUCAUUAUAUAUUUAAACUUCUUAUGAAUUAGGAUUUUUUAGAGAGCGUGAUCAUAAUUAAGAAAUUUUUUUGAGAGUUUUACCAUUAUAAUCUUUCUUUUCUUUUGAUUAGUGGAUUCUUAAAUGUUAAUAUAUUUUAUGGACUUAAGAAUCACAUUGAUCAUCGAACCACAUUAAAAAAUUUAUGUUUUUAUUUAUUUUCUGUUAAUGUGUACAUGAUUUGAUUAAAAAGUGUCACCAUGUUCUUUAGCUUGUCUGUCUAACCUCUUGUUUAGGAACUGUUAGAAGAGUGAUCGACCUCCCCAUCUCAUAAAGAACUUCUUUUGAAUCAUUUUCCAGUUUUAUUAAUCACCUUAUUUUUGUUAAUAGUAAUAUUUGCUUUCUGCAUGAAAUUAUGUUCAUUAUUUUCACUGAAUAUGAAAUUAUUUAAGCUAUGUUAUAUAACCAUUACAUUGAAUUUUGCCCAGAUGUCCAUUGGGCAUCUGGACACCAGUGGAACCAUGGCCACUGCAUGUCAGAACAAGCAAAAGUACGUGGUCUAAUGAUAUUUAAUAGGUCGGCUACUAACCACCCAACUCAUUGAAUGCUGAUUGAGACUCUUAUAUGGAACCAUGCAUGGCCACUGCAUAUUCGGUCAAGCAAAAGAAAGUGGUCUAAUGAUAUUUAAUAGGUCGGCUACUAACCAGCCAACUUAUUGAAUGUUGACUGGGACUCUUAUAUAGGUCUAUGUUGACUGAAUAUUAGAAGAAGUGAUGAUAUAUAAGCAUGUUGCCCUAAAACAUGAUCGACUUAUAGGAUAUAUAGUUUGUUAUGCCAAUGAAAGCUUUGAUGCCAACAAUGUUAGUUCAAGAACACAAAGAUAAAACAAUCACACAUACGGUACACGAGGUUUUAACGUGGUUCAGCCAACUAUGCCUACGUCCACAGAUAAGAGAGAAUAAUUCCACUAUACAAUAGAGAAUAUUACAGAGGACAUAAUCAAAUACAACUAUUGGGUUCCCGAAACAUCACAUAUUUCCCCACUCUUUGUAUCUAUACCCUACUACGAGCCAUCUCGCUCCACAGAGUACCUCCCAUUCUUCCUCACAUCUCUAUCCACCUCGUAUAGUUUUUAUAAGCCCAUUUCCAUCUCAUAACUUUUCCCCCUCAUGACCUAGAAUAUUUAUAGAGAUAUUUCCAACAACCUUCCUUAUUCUAUAAGGAAGUCUAUAUUACAAUAAUAUAUCAACCUAGAAGUAUUCUAUAUAAUAUUCUUUAUAAAAAAAGAAUCUAUACUAAUUAGGAAUUUGGGACACGUCCUAACAAUCUCCACCUUGGACCAAAUUCCAUGAAGUUAAUCUCCAAUCUCUCCAUGACACAAAUCUUUUUGUAUCGUAUCACCACGAAAGAGCAAUCGACUCCACCUUCAGUGAAAAUUCCUUUUGUUUUCAUCUUGUGUGCUUUGUGAUCUUUUACUCUUCCAGAAAUCUCAACCCAAGCUCUGAUACCAGUUGAAGGGAAUUAAGUCGAAUUCUCAACCUGUUUUCCCACAGUUCCAGCAUUAUACUUGUUGGCCUGAUUUAGAUUUGCUUCUGUUCUGAUUAGAAUUUCUGGAUUUUGAUCUACCCCAGUUUGAAUUUCUGUCAUUACCUCUGCUUCUUGUCUCAAGGUUUAGGGCAGAACCAAAUCCUGAGGUUUCGCCUGCAUCUCUUCGGCGAAUCUCCUCAGCCAGAAUUAAAUCUCGUAUAUCAUUGUACUUGAGCUUUUCCUUUCCCAUAGAAUUGCUUACUGUCAUCCUCAUUGUCUCCCAACUAUUUGGCAAAGAAGCUAAGACGAUCAGAGCACGAAUCUCAUCAUCAAAAUCAAUUUCUACAUACGACAAUUGAUUUGUAAUUGUAUUAAAUUCAUUCAGAUGUUGUGCUAUUGAUGCAUUUUCUGUCAUCUUCAAAUUGAACAAUUUCUUCAUCAGAUGCACCUUAUUGUUUUCGGACGGCUUUUCAUACAUACCGGACAAAGCCUUCAUCAGAUCUGUUGUGGUCUUCUCUUUUACAACAUUGUGUGCAACAGACCUAGACAAAGUUAACCUAAUAACUCCUAGAACCUAUAUGUCAAGAAGCACCCAUUCCUUAACCUUCAUACUCUCAGGUUUUGUCCCCAAAAGAGGCAGAUGCAAUUUCUUCUCAUAGAGAUAAUCUUCAAUCUGCAUCCUCUAAUACGCAAAGUCUGUGCCAUCAAACUUUUCUAUUCUAGAUGUCUUUCCUGCUUCCUCUGCCAUUGCUCCCACUCAAACCUAAUCCUAGGCUCUGAUACCAGUUGAAGGGAAUUAAGCCGAAUUCCCAACCUGUGAGAAACAAAAAAAAAUAGAGAAAACACACGCCAAAGAAAAACAAUCAACGCACAAGAAAGUCUACGUCCAUGAAGUUGCAGGGAUAUCACUAUUAUCAGGGAAAAAUCCAGAGUACAACAAUUGCGGCUACAAUAUUUUCUCUCUAUAUAUAACACAACAACUACACCACACUAAAAAACCCUAAUUACAAAAGAUGGUUCCACAAUGGGCUAAGCGGGCCCAAAAGCCCAAGCCUUCGCUCCAUGGACUAAGACUCAGUAAAUCUCCCAUUAAAAAACCACGUAAUAUUAUUCGAGUCGGGUCGCCAAACCGGAUCAAACAAAACUAGGCUCCACAAAGCCUGACAUAAACACACAAAGGCAACUACAAUAAUAUUAUACAACAAAUUUUUAACAAAAUCUACUUCAAUUUGAACCUCUCUCCCUUGAGUGUUUCCAUGGUUAAGAACUAGCUACUUGUAUCUCAUACUUGGCCAUGAUUGGUGUGGUUUCCUUGUACCAAAUUGAAUUGGGUUCUUCACUUGUUGCAUAGCUUGAACUUGUACCGGUUUCAUUUGCCUGCUAGAACAUGUUCAUCCCUAUUGAGUACAGAUAAUGAAAUGGUUUUGGCGGGGGCAUGACUUCUACUCCUUCCUCCAACAUCUUUACCAUAGUACUCAUCGGAGGCCUCGAGUCGGGUGAGUCCUGGACACACUAUAGAGCCACCAUAGACAUUCUCUCUGUUUUCUCCCUGUUCUUCUCUUCAAUUCCACAGGCCACAGUCAUUGCUGCUAAAUUCCCUUUCUCAUACUCUUCCCAAACAUGUUUGAAGAACCAAUCCAUGCUAUCAUUAGAACCGACUUUGGCAUUCCUUCUUCUCCCAACUAUCUCAAACAACAACAUCCCAAAGCUAAAAACAUCACAUUUAUUGGUUAUGGGAAGGUUUUUCAGUAAAAAUUCUGGUGCUGAGUAGCCUGGAGUCCCUCUAUAUCCCGAGACUGUCAGGUGAGUGUUGUCCCUGUUACAAAGCUUAGCAAGCCCAAAGUCUGCAACCUUAGGAAAGAAGUUAGCAUCAAGGAGAACGUUACCGGGUUUUAUGUCAUAGUGAGUGAUUCUUUGUACACAUUCUUCAUAUAAGUAAGCUAUGCCCUUUGUUGUCCUAACUGUUAUAUGAUGCAGCUUCUCCCACUCGAUUUCUCUUGCCUCGCUGAAUAAGUACUUGUCUAGGGAUUCGUUUUCCAGGUAUUUGUAGACAAGUGCGCUCAUGAACUGAUCAUAGCAGAAACCAUAGAGCCUGACUAGAUUGAUAUGGUAAGUUCUGCCUAUGGUUCCCACCUCUGCCAUGAACUGUUCUUCAGUUUGUCUGUCCGAAUUCCUAUUCAGGAC
Molecule: long non-coding RNA, 12576 nt
Filed under: Vitis vinifera (wine grape)
Lineage: Eukaryota; Viridiplantae; Streptophyta; Magnoliopsida; Vitales; Vitaceae
Description: long non-coding RNA (VVIN_LNC000923)
Source: RNAcentral